UGCGUCUGAUUAGCCAGUUGGCGGGGUAACGGCCCACCAAAGCGACGAUCAGUAGGGGUUCUGAGAGGAAGGUCCCCCACAUUGGAACUGAGACACGGUCCAAACUCCUACGGGAGGCAGCAGUGAGGAAUAUUGGUCAAUGGGCGGGAGCCUGAACCAGCCAAGUAGCGUGCAGGAAGACGGCCCUAUGGGUUGUAAACUGCUUUUAUGCGGGGAUAAAGUGAGGGACGUGUCCUUCAUUGCAGGUACCGCAUGAAUAAGGACCGGCUAAUUCCGUGCCAGCAGCCGCGGUAAUACGGAAGGUCCGGGCGUUAUCCGGAUUUAUUGGGUUUAAAGGGAGCGUAGGCCGGGGAUUAAGUGUGUUGUGAAAUGUAGGCGCCCAACGUCUGACUUGCAGCGCAUACUGGUUCCCUUGAGUACGCGCAACGCCGGCGGAAUUCGUCGUGUAGCGGUGAAAUGCUUAGAUAUGACGAAGAACCCCGAUUGCGAAGGCAGCCGGCGGGAGCGCAACUGACGCUGAAGCUCGAAGGUGCGGGUAUCGAACAGGAUU
This 550-nucleotide ribosomal RNA is filed under the name uncultured Prevotella sp. Its description in RNAcentral is "bacterial SSU rRNA". It matches the Rfam family "Bacterial small subunit ribosomal RNA", at positions 232 to 779 of the family's 1533-position model. Lineage: Bacteria; Pseudomonadati; Bacteroidota; Bacteroidia; Bacteroidales; Prevotellaceae. The record is from RNAcentral.